RNAcentral lists this ribosomal RNA (408 nucleotides) under Clostridioides difficile. RNAcentral describes it as "partial 23S ribosomal RNA". It matches the Rfam family "Bacterial large subunit ribosomal RNA", at positions 1915 to 2321 of the family's 2925-position model. Lineage: Bacteria; Bacillati; Bacillota; Clostridia; Peptostreptococcales; Peptostreptococcaceae. The record is from RNAcentral.
AAGCCCCAGUAAACGGCGGCCGUAACUAUAACGGUCCUAAGGUAGCGAAAUUCCUUGUCGGGUAAGUUCCGACCCGCACGAAAGGCGUAACGAUUUGGGCACUGUCUCAACAACAGACUCGGUGAAAUUGUAAUUCCGGUGAAGAUGCCGGAUACCUGCGACAGGACGGAAAGACCCCAUGGAGCUUUACUGUAGCUUGACAUUGGGUCUUGGUACUACAUGUACAGGAUAGGUGGGAGGCUUUGAAGCCAGGACGCCAGUUUUGGCGGAGCCAUCCUUGGGAUACCACCCUUGUAGUACUGGGACUCUAACCAUAGGCCAUGAAUCUGGUCUUGGGACACUGUCAGGUGGGCAGUUUGACUGGGGCGGUCGCCUCCCAAAAGGUAACGGAGGCGCUCAAAGGUUCUC